RNAcentral lists this long non-coding RNA (580 nucleotides) under Androctonus crassicauda. Lineage: Eukaryota; Metazoa; Arthropoda; Arachnida; Scorpiones; Buthidae. The record is from RNAcentral.
UUUUUUUUUUACAUUAUUUACUCGAAACUUUUACAGAGAGAGAGAGAGAGAGAGGAGGAGGAAAAAAAAGGUUUUCUUUCUACUGCUAACAAUGAAAUUUGAUGGAAUCACACGUGUACGUGUCUCGAUCGCACAUAUCGCUUACUAACCACACCAAAUUGACAUUUAUCUUCUAGAAAAGACGACAGGAACAACACGUCUGUCACGAAAGUCACUAACUGUUGUCACUGCUGAUGAUUGCCUGGAUUAAUGCGGAUAGUGAAGUUUCUAUGGAUAAGGAAGCUCCAUAAUUCUUACUAUUCGUUUAUACGUCAUUUUUUUUUGUUACGUUACCUGUUAAGAAAUGACAAAAGUAAUAUGUUUUUAACAUCACAUAUAUAUAUUAAUAUUAAUAUUUUAAUACCCAUAUAUGAGUGGCUCAGAAGCCAAAGCGGUCAAGUCCAGAAAACAACAAUUGAGAAAAUUAAUGUUUUUUAAAUACAACAUAUUCAGAAGGUAUAAAAAAAAGGGCUAUCUGACCUAGAAAAAACGAAGCAACGAGUAAAUCCUUUAAUAGGUUUACAACGUCUUCAAACGAAAC